GUACGAGGCCACACAGCCAGGAAGUGGCAGAGCCGGGUCUGGAACAACACUGGACAGUGGGCUGCCCAAUCCAGAGCUGGGGACACUGAGCUGGUCCUCACUGGGAGGCUACCUAUUCCCAUGACAGCACCCACCAUAGCUGAGAGGUUCACGGGCCUGAGGUCACCCCAAGGACGGAGCCUGGGAGGAUUCCCCUCGCCAGCCAGGUGAGCAGCAGGUAGCCCUGUAGAAGCAGGCGCCUAUCCCCCAAGCAGCCAGCAGAGGGCAGCAGCCACUUGCAAGGGACAAGCCUUGGGCUGGCCACUCUCAAAGGAGCCUCCUGUACCUGGGGUCCCUGGAGUGUGUCCUGACCCUCCUGACCCUGCAGGGGUGCUUGAACCAGGCAAUGGGGCAUGGCCACGUCCCCGAGCAAGAGUGGGCAUCACAGCUCACUCCCAGCUCGAGGGGCCAGAGGAGAUGAUUCACCCAGAAGCUGUAGACAGUGCCCCAACUGUCCACGUCCUGGUCCCCAGAACCCGUGGGCAUCUGAGUUACACAGCCACAGGGACCUCACAGAAGUGGCUACCCAAGAUGACCUGGGUGGUCCCAGUGAGCCCCUGGUGUGUCCCCGCUCCCCGAUGCCCCUUGGCAGGGGGGAACUGAGGCUGGACGGGGCGUGCUGACCAGCAGGCAGCGGAGCUGGGGUCACAUCCCAGCAGUCCAGCUCCAGAGCCCAGGUCUCCUGUCACAAAUUGCCACACCCUGGUGGCUUCCAACAGUCCACGCCUGUGCUCCCGGCCUGGAGGUGAAGUUCAACCCUCGCGGGUCCCUGCUGGCCCCGACUUCCCACUGUCUGGAGGUCUCUGUGGCCCCUUCUCCUCCGUCCCUCGCAUCUCCGUCUCUCCAGGGUCCCCCUCCCUCCCUCAGCUGGGCCACCCCUUCCCCUUCCCUGCGUCACGGUCUCUGCAGCUCUGCCCCGGGUGUGCGGCUCUUGCUCUCCCGCCCUGUCUCCUCGUGUCCCACUGUGCCUUUCUGCCUCUGUCUCUGUCUCUCUAUGUCUGUCGUCUCCUUCUGUUCUCUGCCUCCCUCAGUCUCACUCUCUCUCUCUCUCUCUCUCCAUCUCUAUCUCUGUGUCUCCUUCUGUGUCUCCCUGUGCCUCUGUCUCUGUGUCUCUGACUCCUUCUAUUUUUUUCCUCUCUCCCUCUCUCCCCCUUCUCCUCCUCCCUCUCCCCCCUCCCUCUCCCCCUCCCCUUCCCCCUUCUCCCUCUCCCCCCUCCCCCCUUAUUAUCUCUCUGUGUCUCCCUGUGGCCCCGAGUCCCCCAUCAUGGCACCUCCCCAGGGAUUUCCAUCCACCCCCCCACUGGCCUCCUCGCAGGGUCUCCCUGGGUCUCUCCGUGCACGUGGCCGGCCCCCCAGCCCCAUCCUGUGUCGUCCUGGGGAGGGACAGACCCCAGGGCCCCACCCAGGGCCUACGUGGUGGGUGUUGAGGUGUCCUGGGCCUCCUCGGAUGUGGGCCAGUUCUUGGUGGAGGACGAGGGGCCCAUGGUGUCCCCAGAGCCCUGGCUGGAGUCGCCCAACUUGGGGCACAGCUCUGGAGCCCCUCCACCCAGCCGCCCUGCCGGCCCCUCAGUUCCCGCUGGGCCCCCCAUCUUGACUCCGUGCCCCCCCUGGAAGCCUCUGUCCCCUCCAGGGGGGAUGUGGUGGGAAGGGAAGUCCUGCAACCGAGGGCUGUAAAGUUGUGCCCUGGAAUUUGCCGGAAGCCCCCAUAAAAUCCUUCCCAUCCACAGAUUGGGUUUCACGAGCCACUCGCUGGGCGACUGCAGAGAGCAACGCUGGGAUCAAAGCGGCAGCCCCCGCGCCCUCCAUCCUGGCGGGUGGUCAGGAGCGGGCGACCAGGCUGAGCGCGGGGCUGUCCCCGGGGGAGGAGGAGCCUCUGUGCAGCAGCCUCGAGCCUCGGCCCUGAGACACCAGCCUGGGCCAGCACCUGCCCCGCGGGGACCCCCCGCCUCGCCAGACCCCACGGCCACCCCGGCUCCGGCGACAAGCCCUGAGCAGCCACGUGCUGCCGGCUUCUCCCGCUGCCCCGACUGGUGCAGGGGGACCUCAGCUUCCUCAGAUGUGCCAUGGGAGGCAACGUCUUGUAAGACGAUCAGUGUCGUCCAGAUACAGAGCCUCUGGUCACCCUCCAGCCUUCAGAGCUCCUCCGCCCUGGCCUCGGCUCACUGUCCCCACCUGUCUGCGUGACAGCUUCCAUCUUCCAGUCCUUGCUGGCAUGCUGCCUCCUCCCAGAAGCCCUCCCUGCCUGCUCUGCAAAGCAGCACUGCCCUGUUCUAUCCCCCUGUUCAAGCCCGUCGCGGCCCCGGGCACUGUCCCUGCAUGGAUGGAGGGGGUCUUAGACCUGCUAGGCAGAUCCACGGACCUGGGUGUGGCUGGCUUCUCAGCCUUUCUUAUUACACCCACAGAGGCUUUGCAGACCCUCCUCCUGCUCAGCCCCGGAGGUCUGGAAGCAGCUGGGGGCUGCAUGUGCUGACCAGGGCCUGAGACCUGCGUCCCCCUCAGCAUCAGACUGCUUCACACACAGCACCAGGAGACUCCGUCGGCCUCCCAGCCCUGCCCCUGUUGUCCCCUGUGUGCCCGGCCCGUGACACUUAAGUGCCCAGGUCAGAGCUUGUCCAACAAAGAGUCUGGGCUGACCCUGAGUUGGCCUGGGGCAGGGCUCUGAACAGGACCCAUGACCGGCACCAACUGUCCCCUCUGGGAAGCCUGCUGUAGGUGCCCUCAGCCUCCCCUCACCCCCGGGCUGCGGUGCCUCCCGUGGGGCCUGGAGGGUGGGUGCUCUCCGGUCCCCUCCCGCCGUCCCCUCCUCCCACACCAGCUGCUUCCCGGAGGCCACUGCGGCUGCCUUGAGCCCAGGCACAGACGCGGGUCUGAAUGGUGCAGCCUGCACCUCCCGCCUACAGGUGAGUGAGCCUGGGCCGGGCGCUGCACACAUGAAGUCCCUGGCUGGUGUGUCCCCCCUCAAGACCAACUUUACAAAGAGACAAAGCUCAGCCCCUCUCCCUCCUGAACUCAGAGCUGGUGGCUUCCAGGCCAAGUCCCGAGACAAGGCCAGACACCUCCUUCCCGUCACAUGGAGCUAGUGGGCAUCAGGACUCCCGGUGAAAUUUAAAUUUCAGAUAAGUGACACAGUUUUAG
Molecule: long non-coding RNA, 3174 nt
Filed under: Marmota monax (woodchuck)
Lineage: Eukaryota; Metazoa; Chordata; Mammalia; Rodentia; Sciuridae
Source: RNAcentral